GAAUUCGAUUCGGUGUGACAAGGCCCGGGAACGUAUUCACCGCGGCGUGCUGAUCCGCGAUUACUAGCGAUUCCAACUUCAUGCAGGCGAGUUGCAGCCUGCAAUCCGAACUGAGACCGGCUUUCUCCGAUUAGCUCCACCUUGCGGCAUCGCGACGGUUUGUACCGGCCAUUGUAGCACGUGUGUAGCCCCAGACAUAAAGGCCAUGCUGACUUGACGUCAUCCCCACCUUCCUCCGGUUUAUCACCGGCAGUCUCCUCAGAGUGCCCAGCAUAACCUGAUGGCAACAGAGGACAAGGGUUGCGCUCGUUGCGGGACUUAACCCAACAUCUCACGACACGAGCUGACGACAGCCAUGCAGCACCUCUACGAGUGCCCUUGCGGGAGCCGGCUUUCGCCGGAUGUCACUCGCUGUUCAAGCCUGGGUAAGGUUCUUCGCGUUAAUCACUA
RNAcentral lists this ribosomal RNA (450 nucleotides) under uncultured soil bacterium. Its description in RNAcentral is "partial 16S ribosomal RNA". The record is from RNAcentral.